Molecule: ribosomal RNA, 423 nt
Filed under: uncultured bacterium
Lineage: Bacteria
Description: bacterial SSU rRNA
Rfam family: Bacterial small subunit ribosomal RNA
Source: RNAcentral
AUUAAACGCUGGCGGCAUGCCUUACACAUGCAAGUCGAACGGUAGCGCGGGGCAACCUGGCGACGAGUGGCGAACGGGUGAGUAAAGCAUCGGAACGUGCCCUGGAAUGGGGGAUAACGUAGCGAAAGUUACGCUAAUACCGCAUAUUCUGUGAGCAGGAAAGCAGGGGAUCGCAAGACCUUGCGUUCUGGGAGCGGCCGAUGUCGGAUUAGCUAGUUGGUGGGGUAAAAGCCUACCAAGGCGACGAUCCGUAGCGGGUCUGAGAGGAUGAUCCGCCACACUGGGACUGAGACACGGCCCAGACUCCUACGGGAGGCAGCAGUGGGGAAUUUUGGACAAUGGGCGGAAGCCUGAUCCAGCCAUGCCGCGUGAGUGAAGAAGGCCUCGGGUUGGUUAAAGACUCUUUCUAGCCGGGAAGAAAAC